Fundulus heteroclitus (mummichog) is the source of this 258-nucleotide long non-coding RNA. RefSeq lists it as uncharacterized. Lineage: Eukaryota; Metazoa; Chordata; Actinopteri; Cyprinodontiformes; Fundulidae. The record is from RefSeq and is a predicted model, not a curated record. The transcript has 3 exons.
CAGCAGCCCACAGCAUCAUGUUUUAGGAGGAGGGGACACUGACUGAGAAGAGCAGGCUGGUCCGUCACCAGCCAAGGAGAGCAGCCAGGACUGCGUUGGAAGCCAGUGUGUGCGGCUCACCAAUCCGGUCCGUGAGGGCUACACUUUCCUGGGCGCACAGGGAAAAUGGUGUAUUUUUCAGGCUGAUUGUCAGUGUGUGACACCUUCAGACUAAAAAAAGAGAAACGUGGGAUACAGCUUACCUCCUGCUGGAAGUCG